Molecule: ribosomal RNA, 460 nt
Filed under: uncultured bacterium
Lineage: Bacteria
Description: partial 16S ribosomal RNA
Rfam family: Bacterial small subunit ribosomal RNA
Source: RNAcentral
CCUACGGGCGGCAGCAGUGAGGAAUAUUGGUCAAUGGACGAGAGUCUGAACCAGCCAAGUAGCGUGAAGGAUGACUGCCCUCUGGGCUGUAAACUUCUUUUAUAAAGGAAUAAAACGAGGCACGUAUGCCUUUUUGCAUGUACUUUAUGUAUCAGGAUCGGCUAACUCCGUGCCAGCAGCCGCGGUAAUACGGAGGGUCCGAGCGUUAUCCGGAUUGAUUGGGUUUAAAGGGAGCGUAGAUGGGUUGUUAAGUCAGUUGUGAAAGUUUGCGGCUCAACCGUAAUAUUGCAUUUGAUACUGGCAGACUUGAGUACAGAUGAGGUAGGCGGAAUUCGUGGUGUAGCGGUGAAAUGCGUAGAUAUAACGAAGAACCCCGAUGGCGAAGGCAGCUUACUAAUCUGUGACUGACACUGAUGCUCGAAAGUGUGGGUAGCAAACAGGAUUAGAUACCCGAGUAGUC